UGUAUUUUCAAUGGAGAAUCAAAGAUUAACCCACAUGUACAAAGGAGCUUCAACUCAGUUAUCUGCAAACUAUGGAGGAAUUCACAGAAGUCAACAAAAUUUUAGUGACCAGAGUCUAUGAUUACUUGCUCAUCAAGCCACCAUUGAAGAACUCCAAAUUGUCAAGGGGUUCUUUCUUUGAUAAGCUUGUUCACCUCUAUUAUGCCACAUUAAGUCAUUUUUCUCACAAUCUGACCUACUGGCUAUACAUCUGAAUGAGAGCAAACGAACAUUCUUUUAGAGACAAGAGCCAGGAGGUUGUAUAAUUGUAUUAUGCCGCAAAAGGGUUUUCCCUACUUUAUUUCCCUAAAAGAUAUAAUUAUAAAUUAAUAGACAAUAUUAUCCUCCAACUGACAAAAAAUUAUAAUUGUAAACUAAUAGACAAUAUUAUCCUCGGCUGUAAUCUGGAUCCGAGCAGGGCACACGAAGGCUUUGUCGGAUCCCGCUGCUGGUGACGCACCCUUGUCGGGCAGGGCCAUCACAGGUGAAUCGAAAGGCCCCGCCCCUGUCACAUCUGCCCUGCUCAGUGCCGGAUUGGAGCACAGGGAGGGGAAGUGGUGGUGUGGGUGAGAACCUCAGAGGUCCCUGCCAACAAAUGAAGAAACACAAGCACAAACAAAUAGGCAGGAGUCAGCAAAGGAAACACAUACUGUUUGCCAAUGGCGAGGGUGUUGUGGCUGCCGGUGCACUGAUGCCUAGUUACCCGUCCUCCAACUCAUCGUUCAGUUCACUAUUGCGGCUGCCGGUACACUGAUUUCACAUACUUUUUGUAUGUAAAAUCUGAGAUACCUGUAAUUCAUCGUUCAGUUCAAAUGGCAUUUCAAUUUGGCAAAGAUUUGUAAGUACUAAAAUAAUUUGGUAAAAAUUCUAUAUUAUUUCAAAUAAAUUUUUAUCAAGAGCAAUCCAUUUGAUGGCUUCUACGUAGUGCUGGCACCUACUAACAGAUUUGUGUGCCAAAGGAAAAGAACUUAUAGUAAUUUUUAAACGAGCUCUUGCAAAUCGAAGAUUAUUUAUGCUAGUGUUCGAAUCAGUACCUCUAAAGCACCACCAGAUUCAGGUGCUCUCGAUCUGUUUAUUGGCCUUGGAUUCAAGGGGGCAGCAGGAAGGGGAUGUUGGUACUGAUACAUACCUGAAGCAACGACGGUGGCGCGUCCUCCACCUCCCUCUAAGUUAGUGUCGGCACCACCCACCCACUCAUC
This 1238-nucleotide long non-coding RNA is filed under the name Sorghum bicolor (sorghum). Its description in RNAcentral is "long non-coding RNA (SBIC_LNC007179)". Lineage: Eukaryota; Viridiplantae; Streptophyta; Magnoliopsida; Poales; Poaceae. The record is from RNAcentral.